ACGAGUACAGCGAUCUAGACUGCAGUCUGCAAAGCUGAUAUUUUCCAAAGGACUCGCUCGAUCAGAAAUAAACAUAGUUGGCAUGGAACACUGAGCCGCAGGAUCAGGAAAAUGCUCCGACGAUCGUUAUGGCCACAUUCAAUCCUGCAGCGGAUGCAUGGCAGCAGCCUCACAAGAUAGGCUUGAAAAUGGUCCUAGUUAAUAGAUAAACAGGGGCUUAUCCACAGGAUCAGUGAUCUAAUUACAUGAACACCAACUACUUUAAUGUUGAUCAAUGGAGACUAACCGUAAUCAUGAGUCGGGUCGUCACCCAUGGGUAGUGGAAGCAGAGAUCGUUAAGACCGACUGUAAGCGCUUCAUGUGCACUCACCUAGCGCAAGGCAGUUGUCGACGCCGCCUCCUGAACGCCGAUGAAGGAGCAGAGACGGCACAACGGCGUCGGUGGUGGUCUUCAGGCUGAUCCGGCAUCCUAAGGAUCGGUGAGUUAGUUUGGAAAUGAGUGGACACUGGACACUCUUGUGCAUGCAUUGGC
This 532-nucleotide long non-coding RNA is filed under the name Sorghum bicolor (sorghum). RNAcentral describes it as "long non-coding RNA (SBIC_LNC006979)". Lineage: Eukaryota; Viridiplantae; Streptophyta; Magnoliopsida; Poales; Poaceae. The record is from RNAcentral.